This 2391-nucleotide long non-coding RNA is filed under the name Salvia miltiorrhiza (redroot sage). Its description in RNAcentral is "long non-coding RNA (SMIL_LNC006367)". The record is from RNAcentral. Lineage: Eukaryota; Viridiplantae; Streptophyta; Magnoliopsida; Lamiales; Lamiaceae.
GCCCAUGUCUAUGGGUGGUUGGCUGGCACGUCCUUAUUGAGCCAAAAAAGAAAAAGAAAAAAAAAGGUGAGAACUGAGAAGAGAUCAUCCCCAAACGAUACUCUCUUAUGGGACAGAGGGAGUAUAAAUUAUCUAUAUACAUUUAACAUUAAAUUUUAAUAUUAUUAUAUUAAAUUAAUAUAUAUUAUGUGAGGUAUCAUGAUAAUUCAUGUGCAUAACACAAAUGGCGUACUAGUUCUACUUAAUCCUAAACUAGUACGACAUCCCAUGCGAUGCACGGUCCACGAUAUAUUUAUUUAUUUAUUUAAAUAAAUUAUAUAAAAAUGUCAAAAUAUCAUUAUUUAGUUAGACUAAUUGGUAUAAAAAAUUAUGUUAAUUUAAAUAGUAGUAUUUGAUUUAAAAUAAUGUAUAGUAACAAUAUUAUCAAUUAACUUAAUGAUAAUAUUGACCCGCACUUAGAUCCUGAGCCGCAUCCUGACUCAAAUCGUGUAAAUAAAACUAUUAGAUUAUACAAAUGACACUGCCUAUAAUUGAUACUGUUCGAUUAUAUAAAUCAUACUGUAACAUUUUGAAAUAUUAUAGUGUCAUUUUCAAUCUUAUAGUAUCAUUUAAAAUAUUAUAGUGUAAUUUACAAUCUUAUAGUGAGAAUUACAAGAAUUGUCGUUUAUAUUUCUGAAUAGUGUCAAUUAUACGCAGUGUCAUUUACAAUGUUAUAGUAUCCUUUAUACACAACAUCAUUUGUAUAACAGAAUAGUGUCAAUUACAGACAGUGUCAUUUGUAUAACCGAAUAGUGUCAUUUACACGAUUUGGGUUAGGGGUGAGCAAUCAGUUGGUUCGGUUGAAACCGAUCCGAUCACUUAAAACCAAAUCAUCCAAACUUCAAAAAAUGUCAACCGAUCCAAACCAAAAUUCUCCUUCCAACUGAUCCGAUCCAAACCAUAUUUACUUCGAUUUCAGUUUAACCAAACUUUGAUAUAAUAUUUAAAUUUUUUAUUUUACAAACAUAUUAUUUGUUAAUGAGAAUUUUAUAACAAAAUAAAUUAAACCAACCUCAACUCAAAUAUUUACCAUAAAUUAAUAUAAUAUUUACCUAUCCAUUAACCAAGUUCAAUUAUGAUCAAAUUGUAGGUAUAAUAUAUAUAUAUAUAUAUAAUAAAUUAUUAAAUUAAAAAAAUUUGGUCGGUUCCGUUCCAUCCGAAUCUUUUAAAUACAAAACCGAUCCAACAAAAAAAAUUCAGUUUUUUUAAAAUUAGAACCGAUCUAAAACCAAAACAAUUCAAAAUCGAAUCAAAUCGACCAAAUACCAAUGGUUCGGUUCGAUUAUUUGGAUCCAGUUCGAUUUGCUCACCCCUAAUUUGGGUCAAGAUGAGGGUCCGAAUUAGGAUGUCGAUCAGGGUUUGGGUGCGGGUCAACUCGAUUGUAUUCAAGAUCACCUCUUAUAAUUUUUAUAUUGAAUUAAUGAUCUUUUUGUAAUCUUUAAUUUACAUUCAUAUUGAAUAUUUUUUGAUAAAUCGAAAUUAAUAAUUUUUUAGAAGAAUUAAAAUAGAAAUUAAUAACAAAGAUAUGCAGAGAAAUCUUUCCAAGAUUUUGUCUAGAAAAUAUUUUUUUUUAAUUUUGAUAAAAAUAAAUCCCAAGUACCUGAAAUUGGGUGGAUUAUUGGGCCAAACUCGGACGCCGUCGGCAGAGCCCACCGGAGCAGCCCUCAUAGUCAAGCGAUCAAUCCAAUCCAACGGCUGAAGCUUCGACUUGAAGAAAUUCCGGCCAUAUCCCAUGUUAUCCGCAUCCAUGUACGUUCCCACACUCGAUUUUUUCUCCUCGAACGGCAGCUCGAAGAAUUCCUUCACUACUUGUUCCACCUCCUCCAUAACCCGUGGAUCCAAGUGUCAUCGCAAACAUACCCCAUUCCCCGCAGAUGCUGCCCAGUUUCCUCAGCUCCAUGACCCGACCCGACUUGCUCCGGAGUUUUGCCAUGUCUAUCGCGUCAAACAAGGCGUUGGAAGGAAACGGGUGGGCUGCAACCGGAUUUUGGAUGAACUCUUCGGGUAUGGUCUUCAGUCGGGCCAAGUCUUGAACUACUGGAAUUUUGAUUGUUUGUAACUGCCCAUUUUCGUCGAUGAAUUUGGUGUUGUGGUGAUUAAUCUUUUCAAUAUUUUCCAUCAUCGAUUUUUUUUUUUUUCUCGUUAAUUUGGUGGAGAUGAUGAACCAGUGAUGUGAAGACUCAAAAAUAGUGCCUUUUGUUUUUGUUAGUGCAUGUUUUGUGAUCCUUAAGCAGCCACACGUUGCUUUUAGAUCUAAAUAAAUUUAUAUCUAAUUUUCUUUUCGAGUUUUGGAAACAAUGCACACGCGCGCAUCGUAUAAAUUUUUAUAAUCAAUUUACUCAUAUAUAUAUC